GGUCAAGUGAAUAAGCGUGCACGGUGGAUGCCUUGGCAGUCAGAGGCGAUGAAGGACGUGGUAGCCUGCGAAAAGGUGUGGGGAGCUGGCAAACGAGCUUUGAUCCACACAUGUCCGAAUGGGGAAACCCACCUAAUUUAUUAGGUAUCUCUUAACUGAAUACAUAGGUUUUGAGAGGCGAACCCGGGGAACUGAAACAUCUAAGUACCCGGAGGAAAAGAAAUCAACCGAGAUUCCCUUAGUAGCGGCGAGCGAACGGGGAGCAGCCCUUAAGCGGUGUUGUGGUUAGUGGAACGCUCUGGAAAGUGCGGCCAUAGAGGGUGAAAGCCCCGUACACGAAAACCUAUACGCUGUGAAAACGAGUAAGGCGGGACACGUGAUAUCCUGUCUGAAGAUGGGGGGACCAUCCUCCAAGGCUAAAUACUCCUGACUGACCGAUAGUGAACCAGUACCGUGAGGGAAAGGCGAAAAGAACCCCUGUGAGGGGAGUGAAAUAGACCCUGAAACCGUGUACGUACAAGCAGUGGGAGCCGUUUUAAUACGGUGACUGCGUACCUUUUGUAUAAUGGGUCAGCGACUUACUUUCAGUGGCAAGCUUAACCGAUUAGGGGAGGCGUAGGGAAACCGAGUCUUAAUAGGGCGUCAAGUCGCUGGGAGUAGACCCGAAACCGGGCGAUCUAUCCAUGGGCAGGUUGAAGGUUGAGUAACAUCAACUGGAGGACCGAACCGACUACCGUUGAAAAGUUAGCGGAUGACCUGUGGAUCGGAGUGAAAGGCUAAUCAAGCUCGGAGAUAGCUGGUUCUCCUCGAAAGCUAUUUAGGUAGCGCCUCAUGUCUCACCUUGGGGGGUAGAGCACUGUUUCGGCUAGGGGGUCAUCCCGACUUACCAACCCGAUGCAAACUCCGAAUACCCAAGAGUGCAAUCAUGGGAGACACACGGCGGGUGCUAACGUCCGUCGUGAAAAGGGAAACAACCCAGACCACCAGCUAAGGUCCCAAAAUUCUGGUUAAGGGGGAAACGAUGUGGGAAGGCUUAGACAGCUAGGAGGUUGGCUUAG
This 1058-nucleotide non-coding RNA is filed under the name Nitrincola lacisaponensis. Its description in RNAcentral is "Bacterial large subunit ribosomal RNA". It matches the Rfam family "Bacterial large subunit ribosomal RNA", at positions 1 to 1109 of the family's 2925-position model. Lineage: Bacteria; Pseudomonadati; Pseudomonadota; Gammaproteobacteria; Oceanospirillales; Oceanospirillaceae. The record is from Rfam by way of RNAcentral.